This 253-nucleotide ribosomal RNA is filed under the name uncultured bacterium. Its description in RNAcentral is "partial 16S ribosomal RNA". It matches the Rfam family "Bacterial small subunit ribosomal RNA", at positions 524 to 776 of the family's 1533-position model. The record is from RNAcentral.
UACGAAGGGGGCUAGCGUUGCUCGGGAUCACUGGGCGUAAAGCGCACGUAGGCGGAUUGCUAAGUCAGGGGUGAAAUCCUGGAGCUCAACUCCAGAACUGCCUUUGAUACUGGCGACCUUGAGUCCGGGAGAGGUGAGUGGAACUGCGAGUGUAGAGGUGAAAUUCGUAGAUAUUCGCAAGAACACCAGUGGCGAAGGCGGCUCACUGGCCCGGUACUGACGCUGAGGUGCGAAAGCGUGGGGAGCAAACAGG